AAGUAACCUAAUGUUUUUCUAUCGGCGC
This 28-nucleotide small RNA is filed under the name Bombyx mori (domestic silkworm). RNAcentral's name for it is "ovarian small RNA-10670". Lineage: Eukaryota; Metazoa; Arthropoda; Insecta; Lepidoptera; Bombycidae. The record is from RNAcentral.